RNAcentral lists this ribosomal RNA (495 nucleotides) under uncultured bacterium. Its description in RNAcentral is "bacterial SSU rRNA". It matches the Rfam family "Bacterial small subunit ribosomal RNA", at positions 29 to 509 of the family's 1533-position model. The record is from RNAcentral.
AUGAACGCUGGCGGCGUGCCUAACACAUGCAAGUCGAACGGAGAAUCAUGGAACAGAGACUUCGGUUAACGAGAAGUGAUUCUUAGUGGCGAACGGGUGAGUAACGCGUGGAGAACCUGCCUCUAUCCGGGGGAUAGCAGUUGGAAACGACUGAUAAUACCGCAUAAGCGCACGAAGCGGCAUCGCUUCGUGUGAAAAGGUUGAACGGGAAGAGAUGGCUCCGCGUCUGAUUAGCUAGUUGGUGAGGUAACGGCCCACCAAGGCAACGAUCAGUAGCCGGUCUGAGAGGACGGACGGCCACAUUGGGACUGAGACACGGCCCAGACUCCUACGGGAGGCAGCAGUGGGGAAUAUUGCACAAUGGAGGAAACUCUGAUGCAGCGACGCCGCGUGAGUGAAGAAGUAUUUCGGUAUGUAAAGCUCUAUCAGCAGGGAAGAAAGGUCCGCAAGGAAGAUGACAUUACCUGACUAAGAAGCCCCGGCUAACUACGUGCC